RNAcentral lists this long non-coding RNA (385 nucleotides) under Malus domestica (apple). Its description in RNAcentral is "long non-coding RNA (MDOM_LNC003234)". Lineage: Eukaryota; Viridiplantae; Streptophyta; Magnoliopsida; Rosales; Rosaceae. The record is from RNAcentral.
GUUGUAUAAGUGAAGGUAUCUUCCAUCCUAUCAUAAUUUCUGCUAUAAAAUGCUCACAGAGUAACUGACAUGUCUAACACAAAAUUAGCAGUCGUUCACUAUCAAAAGCACCAAGACCUAAAAACCCAUAAAAUUUAUGCCGUUUCCAUUAUUUAAAAUGUGAGAACAUGUAACCAAAUGUGAGAACAUGUAAUCAAAUCCACAUAGAUUAGAGGGCUGAUUUUCAGACGCCGUUUUUAGCCUCUCGCAUGCCCCUCUUUAUUUCUGGUUAUCGGAUUGAAUAAAUCAAACGUAAACAAUAAAAAGGAUUAAGCAGGGGCGCGUAGGAGGAGAAAAAGGGUGUGUGUUUAUCAUUUCCAUAUCGAUUAAUCAAGUUUUUGUUUAU